GAUGAACGCUGGCGGCGUGCCUAAUACAUGCAAGUCGAGCGAACAGACGAGGAGCUUGCUCCUCUGACGUUAGCGGCGGACGGGUGAGUAACACGUGGAUAACCUACCUAUAAGACUGGGAUAACUUCGGGAAACCGGAGCUAAUACCGGAUAAUAUAUUGAACCGCAUGGUUCAAUAGUGAAAGACGGUUUUGCCGUCACUUAUAGAUGGAUCCGCGCCGCAUUAGCUAGUUGGUAAGGUAACGGCUUACCAAGGCAACGAUGCGUGGCCGACCUGAGAGGGUGAUCGGCCACACUGGAACUGAGACACGGUCCAGACUCCUACGGGAGGCAGCAGUAGGGAAUCUUCCGCAAUGGGCGAAAGCCUGACGGAGCAACGCCGCGUGAGUGAUGAAGGUCUUCGGAUCGUAAAACUCUGUUAUUAGGGAAGAACAAAUGUGUAAGUAACUAUGCACGUCUUGACGGUACCUAAUCAGAAAGCCACGGCUAACUACGUG
RNAcentral lists this ribosomal RNA (497 nucleotides) under uncultured bacterium. RNAcentral's name for it is "partial 16S ribosomal RNA". It matches the Rfam family "Bacterial small subunit ribosomal RNA", at positions 28 to 507 of the family's 1533-position model. The record is from RNAcentral.